AACGAACGCUGGCGGCAUGCCUAACACAUGCAAGUCGAACGGGAUCCUGGCUUCGGUCAGGUGAGAGUGGCGGACGGGUGAGUAACGCGUGGGAACCUGCCCAGUGGUGGGGGAUAACUGCGGGAAACUGCAGCUAAUACCGCAUGAGCCCGAGAGGGGAAAGAUUUAUCGCCAUUGGAGGGGCCCGCGUUCGAUUAGGUAGUUGGUGAGGUAACGGCUCACCAAGCCGACGAUCGAUAGCUGGUCUGAGAGGAUGAUCAGCCACACUGGGACUGAGACACGGCCCAGACUCCUACGGGAGGCAGCAGUGGGGAGUAUUGGACAAUGGGGGCAACCCUGAUCCAGCAAUGCCGCGUGGGUGAUGAAGGCCUUCGGGUUGUAAAGCCUUUCGCGGGGACGAUGAUGACGGUACCCGCAGAAGAAGCCCCGGCUAACUUCGUGCCAGCAGCCGCGGUAAU
RNAcentral lists this ribosomal RNA (458 nucleotides) under uncultured bacterium. Its description in RNAcentral is "bacterial SSU rRNA". It matches the Rfam family "Bacterial small subunit ribosomal RNA", at positions 29 to 524 of the family's 1533-position model. The record is from RNAcentral.